UACGUAGGGGGCAAGCGUUGUCCGGAUUUAUUGGGCGUAAAGAGCGUGUAGGCGGCCAGGUAGGUCUGCUGUGAAAACUCGAGGCUUAACCUCGAGAUGUCAUCGGAAACCAUUUGGCUAGAGUCCGGAAGAGGAGAGUGGAAUUCCUGGUGUAGCGGUGAAAUGCGCAGAUAUCAGGAAGAACACCAAUGGCGAGAGCAGCUCUCUGGGACGGUACUGACGCUGAGACGCGAAAGCGUGGGGAGCGAACAGG
Molecule: ribosomal RNA, 253 nt
Filed under: uncultured bacterium
Lineage: Bacteria
Description: partial 16S ribosomal RNA
Rfam family: Bacterial small subunit ribosomal RNA
Source: RNAcentral